CGAGCAUGCGCGGGCUGGGGCCACAGCGGCCCCUGGUGGCGGGCGAGCGUUCCCUGCCGGAGAGGCCAGAGUGAAGAUUACUGAUUUAUUAUAAAAGGACAUAACUCAGGAACAGUCAGAUGGAAGAGGUGCAAAGGACAAGGUAUGUGGGAAGGGGUAUGGAACUUCUCUGCCCUCUGAGCACAACCCACUCUCCCUAAAUAUCCAUGUGUUCCCCAACCAAGAAGCUCUCUAAACCCAGUGCUUUUGGGGUUUUAUGGAGGCUUCAUUACAGAGAGAUGAGUGAUCAAAUUAUCAGCCAUUGGCUGUUGAUGCACCUGCAGCCCCUCACACCUUCCCAGACGUUGAAGUGGGGCUGAAAGCUCUAACCUCUAAUCACAAAGUUGGUUCUCUAACCUCUGAUCACAAGGUUGGUUCUCCUGACAACCAGCCCCCAUCCUUAGGUGCUUUUCAAAUUACCGUAUUAACAUAAAGGAGCUCCCUAGGGUUUCCCAGGCCCUUGAUCCCCUCCCAGCUGGCUUCCUGGUUGUGACCAGUCAGGUCUGGAAUGUGGUUUCACUGGCCUUUCAUGGAAAAGAUCGUGCUCUGCUGAGCCUGUGUUCCAAGGGUGACCUAGCACCUCCCUGCCAACCCUGUUGAGGGCAGGGAGGAAACCACUCGAGGACAACAUGGGAUGGGGGGUGCAUUCCUCCAGCCUCACGUCACCCCAUCCCUUGGCCAGCAGAAAACAUGCUUCCCACCAGCACGACCCGCAGGAAGGGCCAGCAGACUGACCCCGAGCCACCUGGAGCCUUACCCGACCUUCCCAGCCCAGUGCCAAGCUCCGCCCACUUGGUUGAGCGGGGCUGCUGCUGCCACCAGGAACGGUUUAAAUGCGAUUUAACUCAAGUGAAGUCGAGUGAAACUUAGCUCCUUACUGCAUGGGCCACAGUGAAAUGUCCAGAGCCACACUCUGCUGGUGGCGGCCUCUGUGAACAGAGCAGGCAGCACCUCCCACUAUUCUAGAGUCUCCCAACCAGCAUGCUCCAGGCUCCCUCCAGGAAGCCUUUCCAGGACUCUGCAGCAGCCUGGCCAGUCUGACAGCAGGGCCACCUGCACCUAGGCCCUGCCUGGCUACUCCUCUGGUCCUCUCUCUGCGGCUUCUCGUGCCUACAAGUCUGGGUGGAGGGAACUGGAACUGGCCUCAGGGUGCCCUCAGAGAACCCCACUCACUGGCCUGGGUCCAGCUGGGGGCUUAGGUUGCUGCUAGAUCCCAUGCACAGCCUCCUCCCUCUGAGGCCACAGGUCCUGGAGCUGUCGGAUGGGUGAGGAUCUAAGUGCUAAAAAAUAAGCAGCCCUGGGGGUCCCAGACCCUGUUUCCCAGCUGGUGCCAGCCAGGGGUGGUUUCCUGUUAUUCUCUCCUCAUGGCCUCCUCCCUUCCCAAAGUCAGAAGAAGGAAGCUGCCCCCGUUCUGGUUACCCCCUUCCCUGCAGCGCUCCAUGAGCUCCCUGAGCAGCCGGUGAGUUGGCUCCAGCCGUGGAAACGGAUGAGAAUGAGACAAGGUCAUUCUGCCUGAUCCUGCUCCAGCCACUUUCCUGGCCUGUCCCUGCCCCUGUGCAGACCUGGGUGGGCCCCACACAGCCUGAGGACCCCAAGAGGCAGUGAAGCAGGGUUGGGAUGACCUCGGCUCCACACACCAGCCUGCUCCAGAGCAAAGAAGGCCUUCACCUGACUGGACAAGGCCCACCCUCACUGAGGCCCAUCUGCAGAUCCAGAAGCACCCUCACAGACACACCCAGGAUCAUGCUUGUUCUGGGCACCCCAGGACCCAGUCAAACUGACAUAAACGUGAGCCUCACUGGCUGUCUGGAGACUGAAUCACUUCUUUGGGAACCUGCCUUUGCCCUUAAGGGAGCAAAGAUUGGAUAAGGGCCACGCACACCAGGGAGGAGGGUCUGUUUUAUCAAAGUCCAUGGAUUGUUGAUGUUAAUUUCAUCUAAAAACACACGCCCACCCCAACAUCUAGACUGGUGUUGGACCAACACACUGCACACAGACUCACAGGCUGAGCCUACCUGACUUCGGUGUCACAGGCACACAGCAAACAGGCUUCCCAGCAGCCCCUGGGCAGACUCCUCCUCCUGGUGACCCGAAAGCCUCAAGCUGCAUCGGAGCCAGUUAGGAGUGGGAGGGCUGAGAUGAUGGACACUGGACAGGCCACACGGUAGAGGGGGAAUUGUGGACUGAUACCAGAGCUGUGGCAAAAGAAGGGGGCAGUGUCUGCACAGGCCCUGAGCUCACACGUGGUGGGGGGCUGUGCUGAGCUUCACACCUGGCUAGGGGGCUUGCAGAAACUAUUCCGUGUGCCCUUACAGUGUGACACUGGCCCAUUGAGAUGGAUCCUGCGGGCCUAUGACUCCUGUGAUAUGAAGUGACGUGCCUUCAGGGAUGGUGAUAAGAGUCAGUUGGCCAUUGCUGGGCAACUAUGCUCUAAGGAGGUCCGAACCACAUCAAGGGACCCCAGCAUGGACCCCCCAGCUCAGUGAGUGAGGAAAUCUUUAAGCCAGCCCUGGCCCCACCAGGAAGUCCAGGCUGCAACUACACCAGGGAAUCAACUCGAGUUAGAGAGGGUGAGAUCCUGAUGUCACUUUAUUCAUGAAGAGCCCAGAGAAUGAGGUCCUGACCCCUUGAGCAUGACCUAAAGCUCCCUCUCUGUGGGUGGGAGGAGG
Molecule: non-coding RNA, 2708 nt
Organism: Odocoileus virginianus texanus
Lineage: Eukaryota; Metazoa; Chordata; Mammalia; Artiodactyla; Cervidae
Source: RefSeq, a predicted model, not a curated record